This 939-nucleotide ribosomal RNA is filed under the name uncultured bacterium. Its description in RNAcentral is "bacterial SSU rRNA". It matches the Rfam family "Bacterial small subunit ribosomal RNA", at positions 53 to 984 of the family's 1533-position model. The record is from RNAcentral.
ACAUGCGAGUCGAGGGGCAGCAUGAUUGAAGCUUGCUUCAAUUGAUGGCGACCGGCGCACGGGUGAGUAACGCGUAUCCAACCUUCCGUACACUCAGGGAUAGCCUUUCGAAAGAAAGAUUAAUACCCGAUGGUAUGAUGAGAUUGCAUGAUAGCAUCAUUAAAGAUUUAUCGGUGUACGAUGGGGAUGCGUUCCAUUAGGUAGUAGGCGGGGUAACGGCCCACCUAGCCGACGAUGGAUAGGGGUUCUGAGAGGAAGGUCCCCCACAUUGGAACUGAGACACGGUCCAAACUCCUACGGGAGGCAGCAGUGAGGAAUAUUGGUCAAUGGACGAGAGUCUGAACCAGCCAAGUAGCGUGAAGGAUGAAGGUCCUACGGAUUGUAAACUUCUUUUAUAAGGGAAUAAAACCUCCCACGUGUGGGAGCUUGUAUGUACCUUAUGAAUAAGCAUCGGCUAACUCCGUGCCAGCAGCCGCGGUAAUACGGAGGAUGCGAGCGUUAUCCGGAUUUAUUGGGUUUAAAGGGAGCGCAGACGGGUCGUUAAGUCAGCUGUGAAAGUUUGGGGCUCAACCUUAAAAUUGCAGUUGAUACUGGCGUCCUUGAGUGCGGUUGAGGUGUGCGGAAUUCGUGGUGUAGCGGUGAAAUGCUUAGAUAUCACGAAGAACUCCGAUUGCGAAGGCAGCACACUAAGCCGUAACUGACGUUCAUGCUCGAAAGUGUGGGUAUCAAACAGGAUUAGAUACCCUGGUAGUCCACACGGUAAACGAUGGAUACUCGCUGUUGGCGAUAUACAGUCAGCGGCUUAGCGAAAGCGUUAAGUAUCCCACCUGGGGAGUACGCCGGCAACGGUGAAACUCAAAGGAAUUGACGGGGGCCCGCACAAGCGGAGGAACAUGUGGUUUAAUUCGAUGAUACGCGAGGAACCUUACCCGGGCUUAA